CUCGGCCGACCUCAGAUCAGGUAAGAUUACCCGCCGAAUUUAAGCAUAUCAAUAAGCGGAGGAA
RNAcentral lists this ribosomal RNA (64 nucleotides) under Pinnaspis strachani. RNAcentral's name for it is "partial 28S ribosomal RNA". It matches the Rfam family "Eukaryotic large subunit ribosomal RNA", at positions 1 to 58 of the family's 3401-position model. Lineage: Eukaryota; Metazoa; Arthropoda; Insecta; Hemiptera; Diaspididae. The record is from RNAcentral.